GAUGAACGCUGGCGGCGUGCCUAAUACAUGCAAGUCGAGCGAACAGACGAGUAGCUUGCUCCUCUGACGUUAGCGGCGGACGUGUGAGUAACACGUGGGUAACCUCGCUAUAAGACUGGGAUAACUUCGGGAAACCGGAGCUAAUACCGGAUAAUAUAUUGAACCGCAUGGCUCAAUAGUGAAAGACGGUUUUGCUGUCACUUAUAGAUGGAUCCGCGCCGCAUUAGCUAGUUGGUAAGGUAACGGCUUACCAAGGCAACGAUGCGUAGCCGACCUGAGAGGGUGAUCGGCCACACUGGAACUGAGACACGGUCCAGACUCCUACGGGAGGCAGCAGUAGGGAAUCUUCCGCAAUGGGCGAAAGCCUGACGGAGCAACGCCGCGUGAGUGAUGAAGGUCUUCGGAUCGUAAAACUCUGUUAUUAGGGAAGAACAAAUGUGUAAGUAACUAUGCACGUCUUGACGGUACCUUAUCAGAAAGCAACGGCUAACUACGUG
RNAcentral lists this ribosomal RNA (497 nucleotides) under uncultured bacterium. RNAcentral's name for it is "partial 16S ribosomal RNA". It matches the Rfam family "Bacterial small subunit ribosomal RNA", at positions 28 to 507 of the family's 1533-position model. The record is from RNAcentral.